AGAGAGGUGUCCGAGUGGUUGAAGGAGCACGCCUGGAAAGUGUGUAAACGGGAAACUGUUUCGAGGGUUCGAAUCCAUUCCUCUCUGCAA
Molecule: transfer RNA, 90 nt
Filed under: Sphingobacteriia bacterium 32-37-4
Lineage: Bacteria; Pseudomonadati; Bacteroidota; Sphingobacteriia
Description: tRNA-Ser
Rfam family: tRNA
About the family: Transfer RNA (tRNA) molecules are approximately 80 nucleotides in length. Their secondary structure includes four short double-helical elements and three loops (D, anti-codon, and T loops). Further hydrogen bonds mediate the characteristic L-shaped molecular structure. tRNAs have two regions of fundamental functional importance: the anti-codon, which is responsible for specific mRNA codon recognition, and the 3' end, to which the tRNAs corresponding amino acid is attached (by aminoacyl-tRNA synthetases). tRNAs cope with the degeneracy of the genetic code in two manners: having more than one tRNA (with a specific anti-codon) for a particular amino acid; and 'wobble' base-pairing, i.e. permitting non-standard base-pairing at the 3rd anti-codon position.
Source: RNAcentral